This 253-nucleotide ribosomal RNA is filed under the name uncultured bacterium. Its description in RNAcentral is "partial 16S ribosomal RNA". It matches the Rfam family "Bacterial small subunit ribosomal RNA", at positions 524 to 776 of the family's 1533-position model. The record is from RNAcentral.
UACAGAGGUCCCAAGCGUUGUUCGGAUUCACUGGGCGUAAAGGGUGCGUAGGUGGCCAGGUAAGUUCGGUGUGAAAGCUCGGAGCUUAACUCCGAAAUGUCAUUGAAUACUAUCUGGCUAGAGGGUCGGAGGGGAGACUGGAAUUCUCGGUGUAGCAGUGAAAUGCGUAGAUAUCGAGAGGAACACCAGUGGCGAAGGCGAGCCUCUGGACGACACCUGACACUGAGGCACGAAAGCUAGGGGAGCAAACAGG